RNAcentral lists this ribosomal RNA (436 nucleotides) under Legionella sp. RNAcentral's name for it is "bacterial SSU rRNA". It matches the Rfam family "Bacterial small subunit ribosomal RNA", at positions 396 to 826 of the family's 1533-position model. Lineage: Bacteria; Pseudomonadati; Pseudomonadota; Gammaproteobacteria; Legionellales; Legionellaceae. The record is from RNAcentral.
GCCGCGUGUGUGAGAAGGCCUGAGGGUUGAAAGCACUUUCAGUGGGGAGGAGGAUAGCAUGGUUAAGAGCUGAGCUAUUGGACGUUACCUACAGAAGAAGCACCGGCUAACUCCGUGCCAGCAGCCGCGGUAAUACGGAGGGUGCGAGCGUUAAUCGGAAUUACUGGGCGUAAAGGGUGCGUAGGUGGUUAAAUAAGUUAGAUGUAAAAACCCUGGGCUUAACCUAGGACUGAGAUUUAAUACUGUUUAACUAGAGUAUGGGAGAGGGUAGUGGAAUUUCCGGUGUAGCGGUGAAAUGCGUAGAGAUCGGAAGGAACACCAGUGGCGAAGGCGGCUACCUGGCCUAAUACUGACACUGAGGCACGAAAGCGUGGGGAGCAAACAGGAUUAGAUACCCUGGUAGUCCACGCUGUAAACGAUGUCAACUAGCCGUUGG